Molecule: ribosomal RNA, 1428 nt
Filed under: uncultured organism
Description: 16S ribosomal RNA
Rfam family: Bacterial small subunit ribosomal RNA
Source: RNAcentral
CAGGCUUAACACAUGCAAGUCGAGGGGCAGCAUUUCAGUUUGCUUGCAAACUGGAGAUGGCGACCGGCGCACGGGUGAGUAACACGUAUCCAACCUGCCGAUAACUCGGGGAUAGCCUUUCGAAAGAAAGAUUAAUACCCGAUGGUAUAAUCAGACCGCAUGGUCUUGUUAUUAAAGAAUUUCGGUUAUCGAUGGGGAUGCGUUCCAUUAGGCAGUUGGUGAGGUAACGGCUCACCAAACCUUCGAUGGAUAGGGGUUCUGAGAGGAAGGUCCCCCACAUUGGAACUGAGACACGGUCCAAACUCCUACGGGAGGCAGCAGUGAGGAAUAUUGGUCAAUGGGCGCAGGCCUGAACCAGCCAAGUAGCGUGAAGGAUGACUGCCCUAUGGGUUGUAAACUUCUUUUAUAUGGGAAUAAAGUUUUCCACGUGUGGAAUUUUGUAUGUACCAUAUGAAUAAGGAUCGGCUAACUCCGUGCCAGCAGCCGCGGUAAUACGGAGGAUCCGAGCGUUAUCCGGAUUUAUUGGGUUUAAAGGGAGCGUAGGUGGACAGUUAAGUCAGUUGUGAAAGUUUGCGGCUCAACCGUAAAAUUGCAGUUGAUACUGGCUGUCUUGAGUACAGUAGAGGUGGGCGGAAUUCGUGGUGUAGCGGUGAAAUGCUUAGAUAUCACGAAGAACUCCGAUUGCGAAGGCAGCUCACUGGACUGCAACUGACACUGAUGCUCGAAAGUGUGGGUAUCAAACAGGAUUAGAUACCCUGGUAGUCCACACAGUAAACGAUGAAUACUCGCUGUUUGCGAUAUACAGUAAGCGGCCAAGCGAAAGCAUUAAGUAUUCCACCUGGGGAGUACGCCGGCAACGGUGAAACUCAAAGGAAUUGACGGGGGCCCGCACAAGCGGAGGAACAUGUGGUUUAAUUCGAUGAUACGCGAGGAACCUUACCCGGGCUUAAAUUGCAUUUGAAUAUAUUGGAAACAGUAUAGCCGUAAGGCAGAUGUGAAGGUGCUGCAUGGUUGUCGUCAGCUCGUGCCGUGAGGUGUCGGCUUAAGUGCCAUAACGAGCGCAACCCUUAUCUUUAGUUACUAACAGGUCAUGCUGAGGACUCUAGAGAGACUGCCGUCGUAAGAUGUGAGGAAGGUGGGGAUGACGUCAAAUCAGCACGGCCCUUACGUCCGGGGCUACACACGUGUUACAAUGGGGGGUACAGAAGGCAGCUACCUGGUGACAGGAUGCUAAUCCCAAAAGCCUCCCUCAGUUCGGAUCGAAGUCUGCAACCCGACUUCGUGAAGCUGGAUUCGCUAGUAAUCGCGCAUCAGCCAUGGCGCGGUGAAUACGUUCCCGGGCCUUGUACACACCGCCCGUCAAGCCAUGAAAGCCGGGGGUACCUGAAGUACGUAACCGCAAGGAGCGUCCUAGGGUAAAACUGGUAA